UUACAUUUACAUGAUUAGAAUAAUCAUGUAAUUAUAAUUAAUGAGAAUUGAUUUGAUAAAAUAAUGAUGUCGAUGUCAAUGACACUGUCCAUGUGAGAGACAGACUCGGUCACGACCUUUAAGUCUUUAUUGAAGACUCAUCUCUUCAGUAGGUCCUAUGAUUGAGUGUUGUCUGGCCCAGGAGUGUGAAGGUGAACGGAAAGGCACUGGAGCAACGAACCGCCCUUGCUGUCUCAAGCCUGGCCGGUUCCUCUCUCUCCAAUGGGAUUCACUGCCUCUAACCCUAUUACAGGGGCUGAGUCACUGGCUUACUGGUGCUCUUUCAUGCCGUCCCUAGGAGGGGUGCGUCACUUGAGUGGGUUGAGUCACUGACGUGAUCUUCCUGUCUAGGUUGGCUCCCCCCUUGGGUUGUGCUGUGGCGGAGAUCUUUGUGGGCUAUACUCGGCCUUGUCUCAGGAUGGACCUGAGCCCUAGGACCAUGCCUCAGGACUACCUGGCUUGAUGUCUCCUUGCUGUCCCCAGUCCACCUGGUCGUGCUGCUGCUCCAGUUUCAACUGUUCUGCCUGCGGCUAUGGAACCCUGACCUGUUCACCGGAUGUGCUUCCUGUCCCUGACCUGCUGCUUCAACUCUCUAGAGACAGCAGGAGCGGUAGAGAUACUCUGAAUGAUUCCUCGGAUCACAAAUUAUUUAUUAUUACUUAUUUAUAAUGAUGGCCUACCAAAAGGCAAAAGGACUCCUUCGGGGAUUAAAAAUGUUUAAAAAAUAUAGGACAAAAAACACAUAGAGAGACCACAUCACAACAAGAGAGACAACACAACACUACAUAAAGAAAGACCUAAGACAACAACACAGCAUGGUAGCAACAUGACAACAACAUGGUAGCAACACAACAUGGCAGCAGAACAACAUGGUAGCAGCACAAAAUGUGGUACAAACAUUAUUGGGCACAGACAACAACACAAAAGGCAAGAAGGCAGAGACAUCAAUACACCACACGAAGCAGCCACAACUGGCCAAUGCCUCGCAAAGACACCUAUUGGUAGAUGGCUACAAAAUAAAAUUAAAAGCAGACAUUGAAUAUCCCUUUGAGAAUGAUUAAGUUAUUAAUUACACUUUGGAUAGUGUAUCAAUACACCCAGUCACUACAAAGAUACAGGUGUCCUUCCUAACUCAGUUGCUGGAGAGAAAAGAAACCGCUCAGGGAUUACACCAUGAGGCCAAUGGUGACUUUAAAACAGUGACUGAGGUUAAUGGCUGUGAUAGGAGAAAACUGAGAAUGGAUCAACAACAUUGUAGUUACUCCACAAUACUAAACUACAUGACAGAGUGAAAAAAAGAAAGCUUGUACAGAAUACAUUUUUUCCAAAACAUGCUUCUUGUUGGC
This is a long non-coding RNA of Oncorhynchus tshawytscha (Chinook salmon), 1385 nucleotides long. The record is from Ensembl. Lineage: Eukaryota; Metazoa; Chordata; Actinopteri; Salmoniformes; Salmonidae.